This 72-nucleotide transfer RNA is filed under the name Camelus bactrianus (Bactrian camel). It matches the Rfam family "tRNA". Rfam says of the family: Transfer RNA (tRNA) molecules are approximately 80 nucleotides in length. Their secondary structure includes four short double-helical elements and three loops (D, anti-codon, and T loops). Further hydrogen bonds mediate the characteristic L-shaped molecular structure. tRNAs have two regions of fundamental functional importance: the anti-codon, which is responsible for specific mRNA codon recognition, and the 3' end, to which the tRNAs corresponding amino acid is attached (by aminoacyl-tRNA synthetases). tRNAs cope with the degeneracy of the genetic code in two manners: having more than one tRNA (with a specific anti-codon) for a particular amino acid; and 'wobble' base-pairing, i.e. permitting non-standard base-pairing at the 3rd anti-codon position. RNAcentral also lists the same sequence under 2 other names. The record is from Rfam by way of RNAcentral. Lineage: Eukaryota; Metazoa; Chordata; Mammalia; Artiodactyla; Camelidae.
GCGGGUAUAGCUCAAUGGUAGAGCACAUGCUUAGUGUGUGUGAGGUCCUGGGUUUGAUUCUCAGUACAUCCA